GCCGGGCAUGGUGGCACAUGCCUGUAAUCCCAGCUUCUUGGGAGGCUGAGGCGGGAGAAUCGCUGGGACCCGGGAGGCAGAGACUGCAGUGAGCCGAGAUCGUACCACUGUACUCCAGUCUUGGCAACAGGGCAAGACUCCAUCUCAAAAAAAUAAAAUAAAAUAAAAUAAAAAGGUACGUAUAAUCUGGACAGAGAUGUUUUGGUGAAAUUAAGGACACAGGCUUGGAUGAACUGGCCCAGGUCAGAAAUAGAGGCAGUCAAAACUCCUGUGCUGAUCAGUAGUGGGAUGGUACCUGUGAAUAGCCACUGUAUUGCAGCCUGGGCAACAGAGUGAGACUCUGUCUCAA
This 349-nucleotide signal recognition particle RNA is filed under the name Pan troglodytes (chimpanzee). RNAcentral describes it as "Metazoan signal recognition particle RNA". It matches the Rfam family "Metazoan signal recognition particle RNA". From Rfam's summary of the family: The signal recognition particle (SRP) is a universally conserved ribonucleoprotein. It is involved in the co-translational targeting of proteins to membranes. Lineage: Eukaryota; Metazoa; Chordata; Mammalia; Primates; Hominidae. The record is from Rfam by way of RNAcentral.